Molecule: long non-coding RNA, 576 nt
Organism: Eubalaena glacialis (North Atlantic right whale)
Lineage: Eukaryota; Metazoa; Chordata; Mammalia; Artiodactyla; Balaenidae
Exons: 4
Source: RefSeq, a predicted model, not a curated record
GGGGAAGUUAGUGCGCAGGUUGCCGUAGGACUUGCUGAGCAAAGGAAAACACAAAUGGAGAAAGACCACAUGGAAGGGGACUUUGGAUGGCAUGGUGAAGGGCUUUAGAUGGAAGGGGACUGAAACUGCCCCCACCGUGCUCACACACAGCUUAACUUCGCAGUCCUAGAUUGAAUAACACAAGCUGGCACUCAGCUGAAAGAGACAGCAAAUGUAUGAGGGGUCACCCAUUCCUAGAGGAGAUUCAUGAGAUCACUCCAGACCCAGUUCCAAAAAUUCUGGAAGAAUGGAUUGAUUGGUCCAGGAACUGGCAUUGUCCUAUCCAAAGUUAAAGAGAACCACCUGCCUAGUUUCACCAACGGCUGUCUGUGGAAGUUACGCGUGUCAGUUCUGGACUAGAGUAUAAAAAAGCAAGUUCUUCCUUAGCUUUCCUGCCUUGCCAAGUAGCCAAGGAGCCCUCAUGUUCCAAGUGAUACAGCUCCACCAUGGUGGCCCCUCCAUCCGUCUGGGUCCAUGAGUGAUUAUGUGGCGCACAUGCGUGGGGUAUGUACCAUGAAUAAGAAAUAAAUUUAUGUU